This is a long non-coding RNA of Gopherus evgoodei (Goodes thornscrub tortoise), 421 nucleotides long. RefSeq lists it as uncharacterized. The record is from RefSeq and is a predicted model, not a curated record. The transcript has 2 exons. NCBI's taxonomy places the organism in Eukaryota, Metazoa, Chordata, Testudines, Testudinidae.
UUUGACGAGCAGCGAAAAGAGCCUAUCAGAGCCCGGCCCAUCAUGGCGGCGCCCAGCGAGUAGGGACCCGGCGAUGUCAGGCCAGGGGGUCUGGCUGCGAGCCCGGGAGCGGCUGCGGCGCUUCCCCGAGCUGCUGGCGGGAUGUCGGGACCAGGCAAAGACGACAAUGAAGUGACGGCAUUGGUAACAAUGCAGGGGACUGGAAUCUAGAUUUACAGUCCUGACUGGUGUCUGUCCAGCUGUAAUCAGAUAGUUCCAGGACAGAAGAAUUUGCAUAAUCUAUAAUUAAAUCAGAAGGAAAUGGGAGCCUAAUAAUGGAACACUCAGUUCUAUUUCAUGCAACCUCCUCCCCCAGCUGUUUCAAACAAUGUCUGGUAAUAAAUGUUUGGAAACUGUUUUUAAAUAAAACUCCAAAAUCCGG